UCCCACUCAAAACCUCUCCAAUUGUUGACUCGAUUCGCUCAGUUAAGGCUUCCGCCAAAGCUUUUCCUAAAAAAAAAGCAUCUAGAACGGUCCUGCUGUCACCAUCACCUGCAUCACACAGCCAGAUCAUUAGAUUCUUGAUAAAAGUAACAAAACUAGAAGAUCUAUAUCACAGAUAUAAAAAGGCUUUUUCCACAGUGUCUGUUGGAUUCUCUUCUCCUACGAGAUCAAUAUCAUCUUCUUAAAGUUGUCUAUCUUUCCUCCUUUCUUAUAACAUCAAUUUGCAUAAGGCUGAUACAGAGAAUGAAUAAUUCUAUGGAAAGGGCAUAUGAGUAUUCCAUUGCAUACAGAUUCCAUUGAAUGAACUCUUAUUGAGCAAGCUCUCAUUGAAAUCAGAGGCAAAACUAUGGUUAAAGGCCUAAAUACAAGAAGUUAAGAUCUAUUCGGUCCUUCAGCAGAUUCUUCCUCAAUCCAUACCAAUUAUUCAUCAAACCUCCAAGUUUUCACCAAAAAGCAAAGAGUAUCAUUUUUCCUCCUCCACGUCAUUAGAAGCAGAAGUUUCAUAAUUUGGCCAAAUUUCAGAUUUAAGUUCAAGGAAAAUGAAAUCCUAGCCUAACAAACAAAUUAGCUCUUAAUGCAGUGAGUUGAAGAAAACUAAUCAUAACAAAAUUAGGCCAACUUGACACUCAAUAAAACCAUUGACAAUAGAUCAAACAGUUUGUAGUCAUAGAAUCAGAUAGCUUCGAACGAGAAGUAAAACCAAUAUUGUUUUACGAAAUCCAAAAAAAAGACAAACAGAUACGCAGAGAUUCACUCAAAUAUCAGAAUUAAUAACAGAUUCACCACAAACACCAUCGUGAAAUCCCAUAAAUAAGUAACAAGAGAUUGGAAAACAAAAACAAAGGAGGCAAAGAAUAAAGGUACCAGAGCUGCAACGAGCUAAGAAUCUGGAAGGCCCAUUGGGUUGAAAAUGUGAAAUUCCACGAAAUUUGAGAUUUGAAGGAGUGGAAGAGGAGCGAAAUAGAAGGAGAGAUGGAGGUGAAUAAUGGGUAAUUUUUGGUUUAGUGGUCACAAGUGAAAAAGGAGAUUGGGAAACAGAAGAUGUAACCCCACUACUCAUAUUGUGCGAUGGAAUGGAAAACUACACGGCGUCACUUUCUCAGAGUUUCUCGCAAGUUUUCUUG
RNAcentral lists this long non-coding RNA (1184 nucleotides) under Cucumis sativus (cucumber). Its description in RNAcentral is "long non-coding RNA (CSAT_LNC002841)". The record is from RNAcentral. Lineage: Eukaryota; Viridiplantae; Streptophyta; Magnoliopsida; Cucurbitales; Cucurbitaceae.